This is an RNA transcript of Triticum aestivum (bread wheat), 1337 nucleotides long. RefSeq lists it as uncharacterized. The transcript has 2 exons. Lineage: Eukaryota; Viridiplantae; Streptophyta; Magnoliopsida; Poales; Poaceae. The record is from RefSeq and is a predicted model, not a curated record.
GAAAGCUUUUCCACCUGGCCACGAAAGAAGUCCACAUAACCCCCUGAGGUUUCCGAAACCGGCUAAUUCACCCCCUCAACUCUAAAACCGGUUAAUUAGCCCCCUGAGGUCUCUAAUACCAGCCAGGACACACCCUAAUCCCAAUUAGAGUGGUUUUUGCCGGUGGUUUUGCUUGCGUGGCCCUGGACCAUUGCCACGUCGGCUUGGUGGAAGGCGCGAAGAGAUACGAGGACGCGCGUGAAGUUUUACUCAAUCCCCAAUCCGGUAUGCGCAAUCCCUAGUUCCCCUCUUCCUUCUCCCCUGUUCGCCGCCAUGGCCGCCAGAUGAGUCUCGUCCUCCUCUGUUCUGUAGUUCCUCCCUUUCCCUGUGUGUCUCCAUGGCCGCCCCACCUACGUAAUUCCUCCUCCCUCGAUCCCCCAUUCUCCAGCGCCCUGGACGAGGACCGCCCUCGUCAUGGCUCAAUGGAGCAGCGGCUGCUUGUCUUGGAGUUCCUGUUUGACUCGUCGUCUAGCCGUAGCGGGCCGCCGAUCCCCUAUAGUUCUUGUUCAUCUCUUCCUGUUCUUCAGGUAAGAAGUGGAUGCUGGUUUCGUGAGAAAAGAAAAAUGGAUGUUGGUGUACAGGUUAUCUUUUUACCCAGAAUAUGUACCGAUUAUUAUCAAUUUGCCAACACAAUUGAUUCUUUGAUUCACUUGUUGUUGCUACUGUACGUAGCUUAGCAUCAGACUGAAUUUUUAGUAUAGCCAAGACAACUUCAGAGCUCCAAACUGAAUAUCGUUGUGAAGUAAUACUCGCAAGUUAAUAUAAAUUUCUCAUUCACCCAGUUAAUUUCGCAUUCCUAACCUAUUCUAUUAUAUAUUUUGGGACAUGCUAAUGACUUAAUUUUGUAUUGGUGCAUAUGAAUUUUUUCUGACUUCAAUCGGAGGCUCUAAGCACCAAACUUGCAGGAGGCACUACAUUUGCGAACGAUGACACCAGAGGAAUGAACAACUUCAUCAUCUUAUAAGAGCAUUGGAGCAAGAGAGAGCAAUGCACAAGAAAGAGCAAGAUAGAUCAAUGUUGCAGUUGCAUUGGAGAUUGUCAGCUGUAUAUGAAGAUAUGAAAGUGAAGAAAAAAAAGGGACAUGUGCCUUUAUCAUGAUAUUGUGGGUUGUUUCUUUAGUUUUAGAUUUUGUUGCUGGUAUGGUCGUCUCAGUCUAGUUGAGAAGAGAGAAUUCAGAUAAUGCAAUUUUUUAAGGGAAUGUACUUGUAGCUCUGCAAUCUAUUGCAUACGCAAAGAUAUAUGUAAUCUGAAAGCAAGCUUUUCUUGCUGUCAUGAAUGAAAGCUUUUAUUAACUGAAA